UUGACCUCGAAUCAGGUAGGGAUACCCGCUGAACUUAAGCAUAUCAAUAAGCGGAGGAAAAGAAACCAACCGGGAUUACCUCAGUAACGGCGAGUGAAGCGGUAACAGCUCAAAUUUGAAAUCUGGCUCCGGCGGAGUCCGAGUUGUAAUUUGUAGAAGAUGCUUUGGGAGGUCGGCUCGGCCUAAGUUCCUUGGAACAGGACAUCAGAGAGGGUGAGAAUCCCGUAUGUGGCCGUGGCCUACGCCCGUGUAAAGCUCUUUUGACGAGUCGAGUUGUUUGGGAAUGCAGCUCAAAAUGGGUGGUAAAUUUCAUCUAAAGCUAAAUAUUGGCCAGAGACCGAUAGCGCACAAGUAGAGUGAUCGAAAGAUGAAAAGCACUUUGGAAAGAGAGUUAAACAGUACGUGAAAUUGUUGAAAGGGAAGCGCUUGCACCCAGACUUGGGCGUCGUCGAUCAUCCGAGGUUCUCCUCGGGGCACUCGGCGAGGCACAGGCCAGCAUCGGUUUGGAUGGUUGGAGAAAGGCUCUAGGAACGUAGCUCUCUUCGGGGAGUGUUAUAGCCUCGAGCGUAAUGCAGCCCAACCGGACCGAGGACCGCGCCUUCGGGCUAGGAUGCUGGCGUAAUGGUUGCAAGCGACCCGUCUUGAAACACGGACCAAGGAGUCUAACAUCUAUGCGAGUGUUUGGGCGUUAAACCCAUACGCGGAAUGAAAGUGAACGCAGGU
Molecule: ribosomal RNA, 723 nt
Filed under: Golovinomyces sparsus
Lineage: Eukaryota; Fungi; Ascomycota; Leotiomycetes; Helotiales; Erysiphaceae
Also listed under: 1 other name
Description: eukaryotic LSU rRNA
Rfam family: Eukaryotic large subunit ribosomal RNA
Source: RNAcentral